This 563-nucleotide long non-coding RNA is filed under the name Nicotiana benthamiana. RNAcentral describes it as "long non-coding RNA (NBEN_LNC022092)". The record is from RNAcentral. Lineage: Eukaryota; Viridiplantae; Streptophyta; Magnoliopsida; Solanales; Solanaceae.
ACAGAUUCACGUCGGCUUCCCCCUAACUCAGAAUCAACAACUUUACAUUUUCCCUUAUCAGUCACAGGAACGCCUACUGGUUCGGAAUUUGUGUCGGGUACUGACAGGUAGGGAGCUUCAUCGACUGACGCGGCAUUAAUAUUUUUGACUUUUCCACUAUCUAAUUCUAUAUUUUCAGUUGUGUUUUCAACACGACUACUGCUAGGGUUACGACUAAGUGGAGACUGAGAAUCAGAAAAUAAGGAAAAACUAGGCCCAGACAUGGCUGAGGCAACAGAUUCAGCAGCUACUUCUUUUGAAGAAUGAUAUUGUCCAAAGCCCACCAUAUACGUGCACAACUCUUUCGACCCAUAGAGAAAACAACAACCAUGGACAUCGAUUCAUUGAGGCAACGGAUUCAGCAGCUACUUCUUUUGAAGAACGAUAUUGUCCAAAGCCCCACCAUCUACGCGCACAACUCUUCGGACCCAUAGAGAAAACAGCAAACCAUAGACAUUGAUUCACAAAAGUGCAAAGGAAAACAUAAAAAUCCUAUGAUUUUGAAAACACACUUUCACUAAAAU